RNAcentral lists this ribosomal RNA (587 nucleotides) under Salmonella enterica subsp. enterica serovar Weltevreden. RNAcentral's name for it is "partial 23S ribosomal RNA". It matches the Rfam family "Bacterial large subunit ribosomal RNA", at positions 602 to 1190 of the family's 2925-position model. Lineage: Bacteria; Pseudomonadati; Pseudomonadota; Gammaproteobacteria; Enterobacterales; Enterobacteriaceae. RNAcentral also lists the same sequence under 1 other name. The record is from RNAcentral.
UACCUUUUGUAUAAUGGGUCAGCGACUUAUAUUCUGUAGCAAGGUUAACCGCAUAGGGGAGCCGGAGGGAAACCGAGUCUUAAUUGGGCGUUAAGUUGCAGGGUAUAGACCCGAAACCCGGUGAUCUAGCCAUGGGCAGGUUGAAGGUUGGGUAACACUAACUGGAGGACCGAACCGACUAAUGUUGAAAAAUUAGCGGAUGACCUGUGGCUGGGGGUGAAAGGCCAAUCAAACCGGGAGAUAGCUGGUUCUCCCCGAAAGCUAUUUAGGUAGCGCCUCGUGAAUUCAUCUCCGGGGGUAGAGCACUGUUUCGGCUAGGGGGCCAUCCCGGCUUACCAACCCGAUGCAAACUGCGAAUACCGGAGAAUGUUAUCACGGGAGACACACGGCGGGUGCUAACGUCCGUCGUGAAGAGGGAAACAACCCAGACCGCCAGCUAAGGUCCCAAAGUCAUGGUUAAGUGGGAAACGAUGUGGGAAGGCCCAGACAGCCAGGAUGUUGGCUUAGAAGCAGCCAUCAUUUAAAGAAAGCGUAAUAGCUCACUGGUCGAGUCGGCCUGCGCGGAAGAUGUAACGGGGCUAAACCAU